AGAAGCAGAGAAAGCAGCAAAGGUAGACGCAUCCACAGCAUUUAACUUUACCUCGUGUGAGUCACGUGAGUCGCUGAAACUCACAAGAAAAACAAGAGAUCGAUACAAAAAGGCAAGAGGAUUAAUGGAGGAGAGCAGCAGAAGCACAGAAAAGGUAAAGAAAAGUGGAGAAAAUGAACAGGUUCUAGAUGGUUCAGAUAUAAUUGAGUUGGUUGAGAACGAGGAGGUGUUUAGCAGUUUCGUGGAUCAUAAGUUCCAGGAGCUGGAUAGAGAUAGAGACGGUCACCUCUCUGUCAAGGAACUUCAGCCUGCUGUUGCUGAUAUUAGUGCUGCCCUUGGCUUGCCUUCUCAGGGUUCUUCUCCUGAUUCUGAUCUUAUCUAUUCUGAGGUUCUUAAUGAAUUCACUCAUGGCAAGCAAGAGAAAGUGAGCAAGCCUGAAUUUAAAGAGGUUCUGUCAGAUAUUUUACUAGGCAUGGCUGCUGGCUUGAAGCGAGACCCUAUAAUCAUACUCCGCAUGGAUGGUGAAGACCUCUCAGAGUUCAUUAAUGGACCAAGUUAUGAAGCAGAAAUGAUCUCCAUAUUUUCACAGCUAGAAUCACCUGAUGGAUCACUCCAUGAUUUCAUUGUUAAAGCCUUGGAAAAGCUUACAGUUGAUCAAGGAAUGCCCCCUUCUUCAGAUUCCUGGGUGAUGAGCAACAUUGUGGAACCAGCCCUGGAAUCUUGCACUGGACAAGACCAUGAUAAGCCCAUCUCUCAAGAAACAUUCUUGGUGGAAUUCAAGAAAAUAGCAGAACGUGUAGCUCAGCGUCUAAAACAACGGCCUGUUAUUGUUGCUCACUGUGAAAAUACCUUUGAUGGGAGUAGCAUUAAGAGACUACUAACCAACAAGUUUGAAUUAGACAAGGUUAAUUAUUAUUUUUUUCAUUCAUGCAUGUUUAAUUGAAUUUUACCUUUUAUGAACUGCUUGCUUCUUAAAAUAUUUUCUGCAAAAUAUUGCAGACUUUGAACACAGCAUUAGAAGAUGUGCCGAAAGAUCGAAACGGGAAAAUGGCUAAGGAGUAUUUACGGGUGGCACUGGAUUCAGUGGCUCCAUCAGCUGGUCUACCUCCAAUUGGUGCUGUUGAUGAGAUAGACAAGGUUGUAGAUGAAGGGCUUAAGAUGAUGGAUGCAGAAGAUGGGAAGCUGGUUAAAGAAGACGAGUUCAAGAUGUUAUUGACUGAAAUCCUAGGAAGUAUUAUGUUGCAAAUAGAGGGCAACCCCAUCUCAGUUUCUUCAAAUUCUGUUGUGCACGAGCCUCUUGCUUCCUCUUCUACGCUUCUGCAGCCAUAUUACUAGCAUAUAUAUAUAUAUAUAUAGUGAUCAUAAUAUGAAAGAGGAAUGACUAUUUGUUAGCAUAUAAAGAAGGUGGAAAGCUACGCAUGGUCGUGAUUAUGUGCAAUUAACUUGAUUGUGCGAAUAUAGAAUAACUUGGUUAUAUAUGGUGAGUCGAGUUGACCUUUUCUUCGUGCUGUAUUUUCUUUUGUCUAGAUGUACUAAUUGCCCAUGCUAAUCAGUUAAUCAUUAUUGAUCAGAUUUUUUAAUUUAU
This 1585-nucleotide unclassified non-coding RNA is filed under the name Hevea brasiliensis (rubber tree). The record is from RNAcentral. Lineage: Eukaryota; Viridiplantae; Streptophyta; Magnoliopsida; Malpighiales; Euphorbiaceae.